Molecule: long non-coding RNA, 1189 nt
Organism: Gadus chalcogrammus (walleye pollock)
Lineage: Eukaryota; Metazoa; Chordata; Actinopteri; Gadiformes; Gadidae
Exons: 7
Source: RefSeq, a predicted model, not a curated record
GUCGGAUCUUUCCAUUCGUUCUCAAUGUGGUGGAGUGACUUCAUGCUCUUGGUAAGAUUCCUAUUGUGUUAUAUUUAAAUGAAUUGGUGGUGUUGGUUCUGUUGUGUUAGAAUAAGACUUUUUGAUUAUAACUUGGUUCUGCUCUGACUUUUGCUAUUUGUGCUAUGUGUAUAUAUAAAAAGUAGGCCACGUGCGGGAAGUAUUGUACAAAUGUCAGAGAAUCGAGUAAUUUAAUUUCCUAAAGUUGUCAGAUCUUGAACUUUAUUCUUAAUAAAGGGAGAGCUUGAAGUUUAUUCUGUUGGCUUUAAAUAAAAUGGCAUGAAUCUGCCGAGGCUAGCCCACUAAGGGUUAGUCCGGUACAGGCCUCACCAUGCGGGCCCCCACCGACCAACACUCAAGUCAGCUGCCCGGGUCAUAGUGCUCGGCUCAGUGUUACAGUGCUGGAAGAGGAAGCCCUGUAACCGCGACGGUUCUGCCGCCUCUGUUUUAGAGCUGGCUCUGCCGAAACGUUGCAAGGUUCGACCCGACGAGAGUGGCCUGAUCCGAUACCCCGCUGGUCAGGCCUAGUGUCGGGUCACACAUCCCUAACCCUUUAGCAUGUGGGCAUAAAAAGAAAGUCACUAAUAUUCGGCAUGAUGUCGAAGUUUGCUUUUCCAAUGGUUAUCCAGAUACUGGUGUUGCUUCAGGACCUGAUGGUUGGCUGAGGGUUGCCUGUGGGGUCUUGAUGAGACUAAUUUGUGCAGGCUGCCAAUCUGCUGUGCUAAGAUGCCAGUCAACGCCCCAAAGACGUCAACCAAAGCAGGCUGUCAUCUGCUGCGCUGGUUCUUUUGCUUCAACCAGUUGACCAAGGAGGUCAUGGUAGACGACAUGAUGGUUCACUGUGUAUAGCGGACUGCAAGGUUAAUUACUUGAUUGCAGGCGUAAUGCCCCAAAGACCACCCGACUCAGGCUGUCAUCUGCUGCGCUGGUUCUUCUGUUUCAACUAGUUGAUCAAGGAGGUCAUGGUAGACGACAUGAUGGGUCACUGUGUAUAGCGGACUGCAAGGUUAAUUACUUGAUUGCAGGCGUAAUGCCCCAAAGACCACCAGAAUCAGGUGUGGAAUGACUCUUGCUCCUGGGACUUCUCUGGAAUAUAUUCCAGGUUCCUAUUAAUUCAUGCUCUGUUGAAAUAAAACAUUUUUUAACUUGA